UACGAAGGGUCCAAGCGUUAUCCGGAUUUAUUGGGUUUAAAGGGUGCGUAGGCGGCUUGUUAAGUCAGUGGUGAAAGCCCGGAGCUCAACUCCGGAACUGCCAUUGAUACUGGCGAGCUUGAAUAUAGUUGAGGUAGGCGGAAUAUGACAUGUAGCGGUGAAAUGCUUAGAUAUGUCAUAGAACACCGAUUGCGAAGGCAGCUUGCUAAACUAUGAUUGACGCUGAGGCACUAAAGCGUGGGGAUCAAACAGG
This 253-nucleotide ribosomal RNA is filed under the name uncultured bacterium. RNAcentral describes it as "partial 16S ribosomal RNA". It matches the Rfam family "Bacterial small subunit ribosomal RNA", at positions 524 to 776 of the family's 1533-position model. The record is from RNAcentral.